UACGUAGGGUGCAAGCGUUGUCCGGAAUUAUUGGGCGUAAAGAGCUCGUAGGCGGUCUGUCGCGUCGGCUGUGAAAACCCGGGGCUCAACCCCGGGCCUGCAGUCGAUACGGGCAGACUAGAGUGCGGUAGGGGAGACUGGAAUUCCCGGUGUAGAGGUGAAAUUCGUAGAUAUCGGGAGGAACACCAGUGGUGAAGGCGGCGAUCUGGGAAGAUACUGACGCUGAGGUGCGAAAGCGUGGGAGCAACAGG
Molecule: ribosomal RNA, 251 nt
Filed under: uncultured bacterium
Lineage: Bacteria
Description: partial 16S ribosomal RNA
Rfam family: Bacterial small subunit ribosomal RNA
Source: RNAcentral